Molecule: non-coding RNA, 186 nt
Filed under: Lachnospiraceae bacterium
Lineage: Bacteria; Bacillati; Bacillota; Clostridia; Lachnospirales; Lachnospiraceae
Description: 6S RNA
Rfam family: 6S / SsrS RNA
About the family: E. coli 6S RNA was the first non coding RNA to be sequenced, but its function was unknown until recently. It consists of 184 nucleotides that fold into an extended hairpin structure with a large single-stranded internal bulge. The 6S RNA specifically associates with RNA polymerase holoenzyme containing the sigma70 specificity factor.
Source: RNAcentral
GGUAUCCUGGGGUGUGCGACAACCUCGCAUUUUUGAACCUACAUCUCUUAAAACGGGAAUCCAAUAUCCAUGAGUCUAUGUCAGGCCUCGUUAGUUAUUUCUCAGUGGAAGGCAGAAGCUCAUAUGAGGGCACCCACCUGGCUUAUAUGCUAGGACUCAAAAAGCGGGGCGGCACUUUGGGUACAC